Molecule: long non-coding RNA, 377 nt
Organism: Solanum lycopersicum (tomato)
Lineage: Eukaryota; Viridiplantae; Streptophyta; Magnoliopsida; Solanales; Solanaceae
Source: RefSeq, a predicted model, not a curated record
UUCCGUCAAUAAAUUCCUCCCAAAACCUCCAUGAGAGUCCAAGGUUAAGAUGGAGCUUGAAGAUGGUUAUUCAAUGGAUUUCUUCUUCAAUUUUCAUCGUUUUAUUCAAAUAAGAUGUUCAUUUCCAUGGGCAAGGGCCUUAUGGUGUUGACUUGGUUCAUUUGGCAUCUAAUUGAGGUGUUGAGGUUGUUGUGGUGGGAAUUAGAAAUAUUGAUGUGCCAUGGAGGUUGGAUAGGUUUUUCAAGCUCUGAAUCUGAACUAUUGGUGAGUCCUCAUCGAUUCAAGGACAUAUAAACAUGUUCCUUAUAUCAUAGACUUCAUUUUAUUAUAUUGUAUGGGAUUAGUCCCAUGUUUUGUAUACUCUAAAGUUUAGAUGG